This is a long non-coding RNA of Spinacia oleracea (spinach), 737 nucleotides long. RefSeq lists it as uncharacterized. The record is from RefSeq and is a predicted model, not a curated record. The transcript has 3 exons. NCBI's taxonomy places the organism in Eukaryota, Viridiplantae, Streptophyta, Magnoliopsida, Caryophyllales, Amaranthaceae.
UUUUUUCCGCUUGAGUUGACAUCUUUGCAGCUUUGUAUGUUCUGAAAUAUUUUCCCGCACGUUCGUCUUGGAUAUAUGGAUAUAUUUAAACCAUGUUUGGAUAGAUACCCAUCUCUUGUCGAUGGCUGAGGCUAACUGAAAAACAUGGGAAAUAGCUUUGGGCAUCUGAUUUAAAUAAAUAUUAGUGUAAAAGCUUUGGGCAUCUGAUUUCUAAUCCAUGUACUUAUGUAACUGACGUUUCAUUUUUUUGCUCCCAAGUAAUUGAUGCGUACAUAAUUUCUCAUCUAUUUGCUCCCAAGUAAUUGACGCGUGCAUAAUGCCUUGACGGAGGGGAGGGGGUCUGAUUUCUUCAACCAUCAGAAAUCUGUUUCUGACAACCUUGCAGCUUUGGCAUAGAUUGCUUAUUCAGGCAAAGAUUGUGGUUCUGGUUGAGUACAGAAAUAAGGAUCUUAAUCAUGUGGAGUGGGCCAAGGCGUUGAAGGAGCUCUACUUACCAGGUUUGAGGGAUUAUGUUAAGAGUUUCUAUCCACUUGGACCACUGUGGAGUUUCUGUAGCAAAGCUAUUGUCUCUGCUGCGCCUAAAUCCCCUGCACCAGCUGCUCCUGCAACACCCCCACCACCUCCUGCUCCUUUCUUCUCAGAUCUAAACCUUCCUCUUCAAAACCAAAGCGAAUGGAAGAACUUGAAAGUGAAACGAGAAGAAUGAGGAAAGAUCUAGACAAAGAAAAGGUACAAGG